Molecule: long non-coding RNA, 952 nt
Filed under: Vulpes vulpes (red fox)
Lineage: Eukaryota; Metazoa; Chordata; Mammalia; Carnivora; Canidae
Description: lncRNA (ENSVVUG00000021933.1)
Source: RNAcentral
GUGUAAUCCCACUCAACGAAGCCACAUCAUCUUCAGUCAUCUCACCGGAGACUUAAAUUAAAGAUAACUUCGAAUCUUGUUUCAUAUAGAAACUGAAACUGGAGACGCUUCUCUGACUGGUGGAGUCAGAUUUUGAUACCUAGAAUGGUAAAGGCCAUAUAAGUUGCUCUCAUUUAUACGUGCGGUUUAAUCUUAUUUCUGUUGGAAUAUGCUGCCAGCAACGACCGAGCAGAGUAGGGUGUGGGAGGGAAGAUGGGAGAAGAGAGACCACCUCCUGUGCUUUUCCUUUCGCCUGUUGGCAUCGGAUGAAAGAUAGCAAAAUGCAUGUAACUGUCUCCCUGACCUUGAGUAGCUGAUAAUUAGCUAGGAAGAUAGGAGGUGUAUAGGUUGUAAAAUAAAACAAGUGUAGCAUAAAGAUGUCAAUUAUUCCCAGAACAUACUUAGGGAUGCUUUCAGGUCUUGCUUUUCAAAAAACACUUUCCUGGUGUUUUUGCUCUAUUAGCAGGACUUAGAACAUCUUCCAUUUUUGAGAUAGUCCAAUUUGAGUUCCUGAUGCCAGGAAGGCCGCUUUUAAUUGUCUUUGUUGUCCUUCUGUUCCAGGUUUUUCUCUUUUUCCUGUUUCAGUUUUCUGGAAAACAGAGAGCUGCCAAGUGGGCUAUUCUUAGCACAGCUGUGCCCAUGUUUAGAAACAGUCACUAUUGUUUCCCUUGUUCUGCACUGAACCCACAACAAAUUAAUCCUCCUAAGAAAAAAGUGAGCCUUUACAACUGAGGAAAGGGAGCAAUGCCUGGGUUGCUCAGUGGUUGAGCAGCUGCCUUCGGCUCAGGGUGUGAUCCUGGGAUCCAGUCCCUCAUCGGGCUCCCCACAGGGAGCCUGCUUCUCCUUCUGCCUAUGUCUCUGCCUCUCUCAGUGUGUCUCUCAUGAAUAAAUAAAUAAAAUCUUAAAAAAAACA